AGGAGGUAUCUGGGUCCUCUGCUUGGCUGGACAUCCAUGAAGUCUAUCUCAAGGUCUUCAAAGGGGGCAACUCCUGUUCUUUGGACACCACGUGGGAGUCGUGGCACAGAUCAAGCAUUAUUUCUGGCACAAGUUACACACUGUCCACUCACUGCUUGGUACAGCGCUGGCAACUGGCUGAUGCAGUAUUGCUUUUUGAGGAGGGCCUCCAGUGCAAUUUUUCCUAGGUGGGUGAGCUGGUGGUAUUUGCUGACUAGCUGCCUCCCAGUUGCAGUUGGGACAAAGAUAUGUCUGUCUGGCAACAUCCACCAUCCGUUUUCAGUUAAAGUGGCUCCUUCAGUUAUGGCCCACUCUUUCUCCUUUUCAGUGUACCUGGGUGGAGGGGCCUCUACCGGGGAUGUUAGGGCCACAGUGAGGGAAGGAGCUCUCCCUGCCUCCUUACUGGCUGCUGCUCUGGCAGCUUCAUCUGCCAUUCCCUGUGCUGUAGGGUUGUUUUCCUUUUGAUGUUCUUUGCAAUGCAGAAUUGCUACCUUUAUUAUGUAUGAAGAGAUUGAAGGGCUUUUUUAUAUCUGGCAGGCCUAGGGCUGGUGCCUGUUCUGAAGCAGUUUUUAUUUCCAGGAAGGGGGCUCUUGCCUUUUUUGUCCAGACAGUGGCUUUCAGUCUGAUCCCCCAGGAGGUUGCAGAAGGGCCUUGCCAUCGCUGAGAAUCCGGGAAUCCAGAUUUUUGCAGAACCCGGCGGCUCCUAAGAAUUCUCACAUGCCCCCCCUCGUCCUGGGCUGGGGCAAGGAGUGAACGACCUUUUUCUUCUCUGGCUUUAGUGCCCUUUCUCCCUGGGUGAGGAGGAAGCCUAAGUACUGGACUUGCUGUUGGCAGAUUUGUGCCUUUUUUCAUGAGGCUCGGUAUCCUGAGUCUGACAGGAGUUGCAGGAGGGCUUUUGUGCUUUUGCACAAUUUUCCUGGGUGUCACUGGCAAAGAGGAGGUCAUCUACGUACCACAGGAGGGCGCAGCAUGUGGCAUCUCUCAGAAAGCUGGCAAGGUCUGCGGCCUAUGCCUUUCUAAAGAGAGUGGGUCCCUGUUCAGGCGCCACUUGACGGUGCCUGCCGUCGAAGUCGAACAGUCUGAAGGGGAGGCGUGGAGCUGAAUAAAUGUACAACUCACUCUGAGAGGACACCCAGUCAAGCUGGAAAGUAAUGUGUCUUGGGUUGAAUGGGUUCCCCCCACCACCCACACCAGAAAACAAUAUCUACACCCAGAAUCUGUGAAAGGAACCUUCUUUGGAAAAUGGAUCUUUCAAAUACAACUAAGUUAAAGAUUUCAAGAUGAGAUCAUCCUGGAUUACGGUGGGCCCUGAAUCCCAUGACAAGUGUCCUUAGAAGAGAAGAGAUGGGAGGAAGACACACAGAAGAGUUGAUGUGAAGAUGGAGGCAGAAAUGGGAGUGCAGCCACCAGAUGGUGGGUGUGAGGCCUGGAGUGGAUCUUCUCCAGAAGCUCCAGAAGGAACCAGUCCUGCCACCACCUUGAUUUUGGACUUCUGCCCCCCAGAAUUGUGAAAAAAUAAAUUUCUUUUGUUUUUAGUCAAUGAGUUUGUGGCAAUUUGUUCCAGUAAUGCUAGGAAACUAAUGUACUAUGCCACAUUGUGUUUCAAAUAAUUUCAAGAUUGGGUUGCAGAGUGGACCAAAAAGUCCAGCAGUUCACAAAAGAGAAAAAAAAGUACGAAGAUCUGAAGUAAGCUCUGCUGGGUUCACUGGAACAAUAAGAAUCCUUAUGCAAUAGACCUCAUGGAGAGUAAAAUUGUGAUCUGGGAAUCUUAAAAGUUUCCCAUGCAGUCUAGGGUUACCUUGCUGACCCCAGUAUCUAAAACUCAUUCAUUAUUCACUGUUACGGCGAUUAAACUUUUAUCUCUCACUGUUUUGUAUGUAGUUCCUGCCACAAAUCUCAACCUCAGUUCUGUAAAUCAUUCCCUACCACCGGCUGCACAGAUUCUGCUAAAAAUCAUGUCUUCCAUUGCCUAAUGGCAUGUGAUUACUUCUUUUUCCCUGUAUGUCUUUCAGCUUUGGCACUGUUCUUGAUUAAUUAGAUUCCCAAAUUCAUAUUCUUUUUGAAAUUUUUAUUUAUUUUUAUUUUUUAUUUUGGUGUCAUUAAUCUACAAUUACACGAGGAACAUUAUGGUUACUAGACUCCCUCCAUCACCAAGUCCCCACCACAUACUUCAUUACAGUCACUGUCCAUCAGCAUAGUAAGAUGCUAUAGAAUCACUACUUGUCUUCUCUGUCUUGUACAGCCCUCCCCAGGCCCCUCCCCCUACAUUAUGUCUGCUAAUAGUAAUGCCUCCCCAUUUUUUACCCUUAUCCCUCCCUUCCCACCCAUCCUCUCCAGUCCCUUUCCCUUUGGUAACUGUUAGUCCAUUCUUGGGUUCUGUGAUUCUGCUGCUGUUUUGUUCCUUCAGUUUUUGAUUUGUUCUUAUACUUCACAGAGAGUGAAAUCAUUUGAUACUUGUCUUUUUCCACCUGGCUUAUUUCACUGAGCAUAAUACCCUCUAGCUCCAUCCAUGUUGUUGCAAAUGGUAGGAUUUGUUUUCUUCUUAUGGCUGAAUAAUAUUCCAUUGUGUAUAUGUAUCACGUCUUCUUUAUCCAUUAAUCUACUGAUGGACAUUUAGGUUGCUUCCAUUUCUUGGCUAUUGUAAAUAGUGCUGCAAUAAACAUAGGGGUGUAUAUGUCUUUUUCAAACUGGGCUGCUGCAUUCUUAGGGUAAAUUCCUAGAAGUGGAAUUCCUGGGUCAACUAGUAUGUCUAUUUUCAGCUUUUUGAGGAACCCCAUACUAUUUCCCACAAUGGUUGAGCUAGUUUACAUUCCCACCAGCAGUGUAGGAGGGUUCCCGUUUCUCCACAACCUCACCAACAUUUGUUGUUGUUUGUCUUUUGGAUGGUGGCAACCCUUCUGGUGUGAGGUGAUAUCUCAUUGUAGUUUUAAUUUGCAUUUCUCUGAUGACUAGCGAUGUGAAGCAUCUUUUCAUGUGUCUGUUGGCCAUCUGAAUUUCUUCUUUGGAGAAUUGUCUAUUCAGCUCCUGUGCCAAUUUUUCAAGUGGAUUAUUAGCUUUAUGUUUGUUGAGGUGCAUGAGCUCUAUAUAUUUUGGCUGUCAAGCCUUUAUUGGAUCUGUUAUUUAUGAAUAUAUUCUCCCAUACUGUAGGAUGCCUUUUUGUUCUAUUGGUGUUGUCCUUUGCUGUACAGAAGAUUUUCAGCUUGAUAUAGUUACACUUGUUCAUUUUUGGUUUUGUUUACCUUUCCCAGGGAGAUAUGUUCAUGAAGAAGUUGCUCAUGUUUAUGUCCAAGAGAUUUUUGCCUAUGUUUUUUUCUAAGAGUUUUAUGGUUUCAUGAGUCACAUUCAGGUCUUUGAUCCAUUUCAAAUUUACUUUUGUGUAUGGAGUUAUACAAUGAUCCAUUUUCAUUCUCUUACAUGUAGCUGCCCAGCUUUGCCAACACCAGCUGUUGAAGAGGCUGUCAUUUCCCCAUUGUAUAUCCAUGGCUCCUUUAUCAUAUAUUAAUUGACCAUAUAUGUUUGGGUUAAUAUCUG
Manis pentadactyla (Chinese pangolin) is the source of this 3570-nucleotide long non-coding RNA. RefSeq lists it as uncharacterized. The record is from RefSeq and is a predicted model, not a curated record. NCBI's taxonomy places the organism in Eukaryota, Metazoa, Chordata, Mammalia, Pholidota, Manidae. The transcript is spliced from 3 exons.